Long non-coding RNA from Numida meleagris (helmeted guineafowl), 3341 nucleotides. RefSeq lists it as uncharacterized. The record is from RefSeq and is a predicted model, not a curated record. NCBI's taxonomy places the organism in Eukaryota, Metazoa, Chordata, Aves, Galliformes, Numididae. The transcript is spliced from 3 exons.
AACACGGGCUUCGGCGGCGCCGCGCCGAGCGCGCGGGCACUGUCAUGGCGCCACCUUGCGGGAACGCGGCCCCCAAUAGCCCCCCUCGGACACGGCGAGCGGGAAGCAGGAGGGUUAACAGCCUCAACCUCAGGGUUGCCGCUGUCCCUGCAGCAGGAAAGGGUCUCUCACGAGAGGGAAAUGCGUCUUGAGUUGUCCCACAGUACCAGGACUUAACGCAUGAAUUCCGAAUACGUACCACUUGAGAAGACGUAACGAGGUCCAUGUCAAGCAUGUUCCAGACAGAGACUGCUGGGAAACUUGCAGAUGAAUGAGUGUGACUUCAGGUAUCUUAUGAGAGAAGAUGCAGUCAGGCUUCCCAGGGGUGCAUGGUGGAAGAGUGAGAGACAACAGGCAUAAAAAUGAGAUGCUCAGAGAAGACAUAAGAAAAAAAGAUUCACCAUGAGGACAGUUGAAACAUGGAACAAGUUCUUAAGAGAGCCUGCCUGGCCAAAGCCCCAAGCAACCUGUUAGCCAGUGUUGACCCUGCAACACCCAGAAUGUUAAACUGGAUGACCUUCUGAGGCCUCUUCCAACCUGAAUUAUUCUGUGAUUCUAUGACAUUAAGGGAAUUAAAAUCUCCUAGAUGUCACCACAGCUAAAUCUUACAUAAUACUUUAAUGAGUACCUCAGAACAGAUGGAAAACUAAGGAGCAAGGACUAAUCACAGAGGGCUAAGUUCCCAGAAGUGAUUCUAGUGACUUUCAUUAUGACUAACAGGCUAAGCAUUUUAUUUGCUCUUAUAUACACACAACUUUUAUUGGAAUAUUUUCUAUUUUUAACCUAAGAAAAUGAGACUUCAGUGACUCUGCUGUCUAUCACUUGUUUCCAGCAAUAGAUUUUCUAGCUUCUUCAGCCAAUUUCAAAAAAAUCUGACAGGAAAGUAUCAGUCUCAAAGGUAACUGUGCUCUUACAGGGUUUUGGAAAAAUUGGGUGCUGGGGAGAAGAAUGAACUCUCCCUCUCAGAAAACAAACAAACAAACAAACAAACAAGCAGAGAGUCACUGUAGUCCAUUUUGUUUGCCAUCUUUAUUUGAGCCAGUCAGCUAAUACACUCAUUAAUCCAAAAUACAGGUAUGCUUUUCAUAAUGUGGGAAGCAUAUGUGAGUUUUUGUUAAUGUUGUCAAACCUUGGCACCCACUUCUUAUUAAUUUUGCUGCUGCCAUACAAUACUUGAAGACAAAAGAUGAUCUGCUCAGAACUAUAUAUUAGACUAUAUGAUAACAACUUAUGAUGACAACUUAUUUUGUCAUCAUAUUGUUCUAAUGCAUAAAGAACCUCAUGGUCUUACUGAAGUUAUUACUAACACCCAGUUUUCCACAGUGAUAUCUUGCAUAAUUAUACAGGAGGACAUAAAAAUAACUGUCAGACUAAUUUUAUUUUAGUGUAACUUUUGAAAAAAUGUUUUCAAACUCAAGCUAUGAACGAAUCCAUCUUUGACUGGAAAAGCAACUGGACACUGCAGAUAAUUACAGAUCAGAUGAAAUAUCUUAAUUUUAAGUCUAAUCUAAAAGAAAUAAUAUAUUCUAUGAAGUAACAAAGAAUAUAUUAGAAAGAUCUACUUGCAGAGGUUCAACCAUAUAACUCCUUUAAAAUAAUAAACAGAAAACAGACAUUUCGCUUACUUUUAGAGAAAAUAUCUGCAAUGCUCUGCUUCACUUUAAAGAGGGAGUUUCUUUUCUAUGUUAAAUAAAACAGUAUUGUCUGUGGAUCCCCAAAUAAGUAAAUUAAAGGCUAAUUCAAGUAUAUGGAUUACAAAUUUUUCUGGAAUGGACUACUCCAGUAAUCUGCAGUGUAUAUAGUGCUAUGGAAGUCAAUGCAAACACAUUUUGUUCAGGUCAAUUCUUCUGGAUCAAACCAGACGCCGUGAGUGGAAUUUAUGCAAAAGACCUCAUACAAAGACUGGCCCUUCAAGAAAAGGAAAUUUGAAAUCUGAACAACCGUACUGAAUUUCUGACGGUCACCAGGAUGGAAGGUUGAAUUUCCUAGGUCUUCAAACUAUUAUUACCAAGGUCUAUGACUACCCCAGAAUCUCUGCUUUGUACUCAGACCAUAAUGUGCAUCUCCUUCGACUCUUUGAAAUAUAGAGGUGUGUACAAAACAUUCAACAAAAAAAGAAACUCAAAGUGCCUUAGAAGAAGAAAGCAGAAUUGAUACUUAUUAGAUGACAGCUACAGUAUAAACACAACUGAGAAACAGUAUACUGUGACAAAAACUGCCUAAAACAGAAAAUUGUAACUUCUGAGUUCUGCUACAGAUGUUAAAAGACGGCUCCCUCUACCGUCAAAAAAUGCUUUUUCGGGAAGAAAUUAAAGGUGGGUGUGCACUGCACCGUGGCAACAAAAGAGCAGCAAUUCUUUAAGAAGUAUCAAGGGAAUUCUGCAAAGGAGCUCACUUUAGAACAUCUGUUGUGUUGGACGGAACAAGUUCUUACAACAUCAUUCCUCAUUCAGUGCACAGUUGACCAAAUAUUCAACUAGCUAAAAAUUGCUUGCACAUCACAAUCUAAUGAGUCAAUAACAACAGUGAAAGUGUACCAUAAGUGCCUGCAUUUACAGAAAGUAAUAGAAGCCAUCACAAGUAAGACAUCAGUCCUGAGGAUAUACUGCACCUCUCUUCGGUUAUGCCUACACAGCUGGAUGUAGCUAAGAAUGAAUGAGCUUGUCAGUAGUCUGAGAAGGCUAGACAUAAAUCAGGGGUAUCUGUGAAAUUACAUAGCUGCACUAACAUAGUAUUGUCCCUAAAGCAAGUAUACCCUGCAUUUCAACUGUGUCUGUUAGCUUAUGUCACUAACUAGAAUGUCCUAUUAUUUUUGGUAUCUGACACAAAACCUCAGGAGAGUUUAUAUCCAGACAACUCAGAGUCUACUUGCUUCUGGCCAUAUUUGUCUUCACACAUACUUGCAUUUGCAUAGUUCUAAAGCUCACAUAUUCAUGACUAAGCUGUAACAUUUCUAAGACUUUUCAAUGAAGUUCUUUAUUUUAGUCUGUACAGCAGAAAAAGCCACAACGAUUAUUUUAGUAUGAAUGUAAUGCAUUUUUGUCACUGAGCCUUUUUACAGUAAAGUAUGCUAAGUUAUGCUAAUUGUCAGGCUUAGAGAUGGGUGACUAAAAAACAUUCAGAAUGUUUUUUCAGCUGAAACAAUUCAUGGACAGAAUAAACACAAGCUAUUUCAGAUGAGAUAAUCAGACCUACUUAAUAAAGGAAUUCUGAAUUAUUUCUUUUCCCCUUCAUUCUACUUCACAAAUACCUUCAAUUCCCAUUUCAAGAGUUGCCUGUAUUAGGCUCUAAAACCAUCUGUA